Molecule: long non-coding RNA, 5366 nt
Organism: Medicago truncatula (barrel medic)
Lineage: Eukaryota; Viridiplantae; Streptophyta; Magnoliopsida; Fabales; Fabaceae
Exons: 2
Source: RefSeq, a predicted model, not a curated record
GAAUUGGGGAAUGAAUAAUCUAAACCAUAAAAUGAAUAAUUUAAACUGACCAUUUUGAUAUUUCCUUAAAAUGGGAAAUCAAUUUGACAGAUCGGUGCAAAUUAGGACGAAGUUGAUGAUUCACUCCUAACAAAUCUGACUAGCCGGUCUUUCGAUCUAAAACCCUGGUUUGUCGAUGUUGAUAUCUAUCUCCCUCGCUACCGCACUUCUGUCACGUGCGUUCUUCUUCAAGUUCUGCCGUUGUGUCGUCGCCACUGAAAGUUCGGGGUUUUGUAAUAUGGAAGAAGACUCUUGUUCUCUUUUAGUAAUUUGAUACAAGUUAUGGGCUUUUACACUUGGAUAUUAAUCAAUACUGAGGUAUGUGGGGAUGGUAUAAAUUGCAUGCUUUUAAGGCAUAGAAUUGCAUGUUAAGUAUUGAUCCUGAGAAUUUGCUAUGACUUGAUGGUAUUGAUGAGCCAUUACAGUGUUAUCUUGGAGUAAUAAUUAGCCAGAGCAUAUGUGCAACGGUGAAAGUGUCCGCUUCAGAAAUGUUUAUACCUAAUUUCUUGAAAGUUGAAUGCAAGCGAAAUCUUAUCUUAGAGUAAUAUUUACCUUUUUGUUUACAUUUGUUGAAUCACUUUAAAUUGGGAAGUGAACAUCGAAUCGAAACAUUUGUGGAGUCUUAGUUAAGACUGUUCAGUUGCCCCCUUUAGUUCAAUAUUUUUGAAGUUAUAUAAGUAAGUUAUCACAGAUAUACUUGCUAUUAAAGAUGUAGCAAGUUCAAUGAUUUCAAGUCUUAGAGUAAAAGUGUACAAACCAAAUAAAUUUCAUAUGAAUACAGACUAAAUAAGUCAUAGAGUACAGUGUACAAACCAAAUAAAUCUCAUGUUUCAGUAUUAUAAUUUAUUAUAGUUUAAUCCUCAAAUAGUUGGUCUUAGAGACGAGUCUCUAGAAUGGUUGAAGUAAAAAUAGGUUUUGGAUGAUGUGAGAUACAAAUCUGAAUUAUCCCUUGAGAGUAAUAUAAGGAGUCACUGGAGUGUAUACCUUUAUUUGUCUCCGAUCUGUUUGUGGAACCAAUUAUGUUUUUAGAUACUGUUUUUGCUCGUCACCCGGAUGCAUCGACUAUGGUUACAGUAUCGGAAUAGUUCCUUGUGCAGAAUUUAACUUGAAUCAUGUCUCUUUUAUUCAAUCAUCACCAAUGUUUUCUUUUUAACAUGUAUAAUGUAUUUAUAGUUUAUACUGUCAUCUGCAAAUUGUAUGUGGGUACUUCAUUAAUUGUUCAUUGCUUUCAGCUGUUUUGCUGAAAGUAGAAAAAAGGGGCGAUGAUUACAAUGAGAGAGGUCUUUAGUGGGAAAUACCCUAUUUGUUCGGAAAAUCAUAACCCAACUUCUAUCAGAGUUAGGAUCCUCUCCAUUUAUCAAUAUCAACAAAAAAAUUAAAAGAAAAUGAAAAUGAAGAAGAUUAGAACUUGAACGUGCCGCCAUACCCUUUUCACCAAAAGGGUCUGGCUUUGGCAUCUCAUAUUCUAUCUUCGUCUUCUUUCUCCUCUUCCUCUUUCUCUUACUGUCCCUUCAUAUUGAAUUGGGUUUUUUCCACAGUGACAGAGCUUUCUUAAUUUACACUUGAUAUGAGCCCCUCAACUUUCUGAUUUUCCAUCAUUAUUAUUAUUAUUAUUAACUUAUUUGUUUUUAAAAAUUAGUUUUGUUCAGAGUUGUAGUGUUUUUUCUUGCGCUGAUUUUAUUUUGGAUGAGGAAACACUUCAUGUUCUCGUCAAAGAUUCAGUGCGGACAGAAAAAGCUUGAUUUUAGCUACUGCUUGUUUCUGACGAACAUAUUUUUCAGAAUAUGGUGGAUUUGUUGUAAUGUGCGGACAGAAAAAGCUUGAUUAUAGCUACUGCUUGUUUCUGACGAACAUAUUUUUCAGAAUAUGGUGGAUUUGUUGUAAUUCGGCAGCGGCUCGACAACCGUGGAGAUGGAAUCCACAGAUGUUGAGUUUUUUCUUGUCUCACACUUCUACUAAUUCCAUCUCACAUUUUUUUCUUAUUUGUUAUCUGCUAAUUAAAUUAAUUGUUCAUUUGGAUGUAAUAUUUUUGAUAUUGAAAUAACUUUUUGGGGAUUAAUAAAAAGGAAGAAGACAAAGUAUUAUGUAAUCAAUUUGCUGCUUUUGCAUUUGCACUCUUUUUUUUUUUCCUUUCUUUUAAUUUGAUAAAAAUUAAUAGUUUUGAAUGGGAAGCAUUUGUUGUUUACCUGUUAUUGACGGUGUAGCAACUUCAAUGGUUUCAAUGCAGCAGAUAUGAAAACUUAAUAUUAAUCAAUGUUCCUGAGACUGGAAAGGCAAUCGUAUAGAAAUGCAUGAUAAGCAAUGUUCCUAAGAAUUUGGUGAAACAUUGAUGAGUCUUUACCGUGUGAACUUUGUGUUGUGGCAUAUUGGAUUGAGGAAUUUUUCAAGGGCUGUCUGUGUACCAUUUUUUAAGUUAAAAUCAUGUGCUAGUUAUAGAAAAACAUAUCACUUGUUUGUGACUGUAUAUACAAGCAAGUGCUGUACUUUGCCUCUCUUUGUUCUUGCAUGAAAUGAUGGAUAUACUGCGUCUUUGCAAUUGGGUGAUCGUUGAUUAUGUUUUUGUUUUUAAGGUGCUGCUUCAGAUAUCAUGCAAUGCACCUCUGGUAGUCUGGUUAAGUUUUUGUUCAAUAAGUUAUUAUAGGAAAAGGAUAUAAACAUUUACAAGUUAACAAGUUAAACGUUGAACUUUCUGAGUUAAGUUUCAGCUAAUUGCCAAUGCUCUAUUCUGUAUAAAGCGUGGGUUAGAUUCAUUGUUCAUUGCUUUCAGCUGAUUUGAUGAAGGUAUAAAGAAAAGGGAGAUUAUUAUAACGAGAGAGGCCUUUAGUGGGAAAUAAUAAUCAAUUCAAUCGGAAAAUCAGAACCCUAACUUCUAUCAGAGUUAGGAUUUGCUCCAUUUACCAAUAUCAACGAAAAGUGAAAAGAAAGUGAAAGCAAAGGAGGUCAGAACUGGAAGGUGCCGUCACACCCUUGUCACCAAAGGGUUUUGACUUUGGCAUUUUUUUUUAUUUUUAUUUUUUUGUUUUUUGUCUCACACUUCUACUGAUUCCAUAUCACAUUUUCUUAUGUUUAAGUGUUCAUUUUCAUGCAAGUUAACAAUUUUGAUGUGAAUUUCGGGGUUUUAUAAUAAGGAAGAAGACAGUAUUAUGGAAUCAAUUUGCUGCUUUUGCAUUUGCACUAUUUCUUGCUCUCUUUUAAUUUAAUAAUAAUUAAUAGCUUUCACAUUUUUCUAUUAAUCAAAAUACUGAAUAAAGUUAUGUGGGGAUGGUAUAGAGUUGCAUCCUAAUAUUAAGUUGUUUAGCAUAUGUGCAAUGUGUUAGCUAAAGACAUGUUUAUACCAUCUCUUACAUUAAUUUUUAUAAAUGUUUGUCCAUUAAGUUCAAAUUGUGAACCAAACAAUGAAUUGAAACGUUUGUAGAUGUUGAUGCCUAAUUAAGACUGUUCAAUCGCCCCCUUAUUAUUGAAGAUGUGGAACUUCGUUUUGAUGCAGCAGAUAUAUGAAUACAUUAUUAAAGAAAUCUUUAGACAAAAGACCUAAUAAUUCACGGUUUUCAGUAUUGUGAGGAGGUGAGCUGGAAGCAUAAUGCAGGGGUUGUUCUGUUUGCAAUAAGUAACUGCUUGGUUAGAAAACAUUAGAUAAUGAUGCUGUAAUUUUUAUACUAAUCAUGUUAUAGGAGGUUGAGAGAUGUAGAUUGCUGUAAUAUAUCCUCUUAGCAAGUUGAUUGAUCCGGAGUUUGUGAUUGUACUAUUUGUAGAUUUCUUUUUAUAUAAGUAGUGAUUGAUAAAAAAAAAAAUUUGUUCAUUUUUUGUUAGUCUCUGAUUGGGGUUUUUUAAGCCAAUGGUGCUUUAAGAUAAUUUUUUUUACGUUGCUAGUCACCCUUGUGCAGAAACUAUGGUUACAUGAACAGUUUGUUGUUUGAUUGAGAAUUGGAGAAUUUCAUGUAAAUGUGUCACUGGCUUGCUUUUUUUUGUGUGGAACUUACAGUUGCUGUAAUUAAUCUUCAUUGUACGAACAAUGCCAGUAGGGCUAUUAGGAAAUGGUUUUGCAAUCUUUUGCUAAAAAAGUAAAAUGAUAAAAGGAGGAUGAAGGUGGAGCGAGAGCUGCAAACUUGUGUUGAUUGUGGGGAAUACUACAUAAAAGACCCAUCAUGACAUCAAUUCUAAUUUGUCACAAUUCAUGGCAAAAAAAGGUAUGUUUUUGUUUAAUUUAACAUAUUGUUCUCUUGAUUCAUUUCAUUACUUAUCUUCAUUACCGCUUUUAAAAAGACUUGUUGGACCCUUUUCUCUUAGUAUCAGAACUAUUUGGCCUUUUGAACGUGUAAUUUAAGGGCAUUUGAUCCUUUCACUCUAGGAUCUAGAUUGAAUUGUAGUAGAGGAAAACCAUUGAUGAUUAUAAAUGCUGUAUAGAAUUGUUAGGAACAAGAAUGACUACAAAUUGAUGAACAGGGAUCAACCUGUUAAUAUUUUGUAUUUUAUGUUUGAUAAGGUAAAAUAAAUAAAUUUUCAGGGAAAAAUUAAACCCCUAAUAAAAAUGCUUGAUGCUAUGAGUUGUAUCCUUUGUUCGCCACUUUUAGUGUUUCAGCAUUUUGCUGAGCCGAAACUGCAGGGCAGUGAUUAGAAUGAGAGAAGCCUUGAGUGGGAAUACCCAAUUCCAUAGAUAAAUUCGUAUAUAGAAACACUUUUAUUCUCUUCACCCCCCCAAAAAUCAAACAAAACAAAAUCAAAGAAGCUUUGAGCUCAAUGGUGCCGCCGAGCCUUUUUCACCAAUGGGGUUUGACUUUGGUAUCUCAGGUUCUAUCUUCCUCUUCCUUCUCCUCCUUCUCUUUUUUAUUCUUUUAUCGUCCCUUAAAUUGAAUUGGGUUUUCCCCACAGUGACAGAUCAUUCCCUCAACCUUCUGAUUUUAUAUUGUUUUGAUUAUUAACUUAUUUGUUUUAAAAAUUUGUUUUGUGAAGAGUUGUAGUUAUGUUUAUUGCCUGAUUUUGUUUUGGACAAGGAACACUUGUGUGUUGUUUUCUUGUUAAAGAUUCAGUGCGCACAGGAAAAGCUUGAUUAUAGCUACUACUGCUUGUUUUCUGCUUUUCAGAAAAAAUAGUGGGUUUGUUGUAAUUGGGAAGCGGCCAGACAACCGUAGAGAUGGAAUCCACAGAUCUUGAGUUUUUUUCUCACACUUCUACUAAUUCCAUCUCACAUUUACUUAUGAUUAACUGUUAAUCUUAAUUUAUUGGUUUAUUUUGAUGUAACUUUUAUUGUUGGCAUAAAUUUUGGGGUUUUAUGACGUGGAAGAAGACAUAUAGUAGUAUGCAUAUGAAUACACUCUGUUUUGAAUCAA